ACGCGAAGAACCUUACCUGGUCUUGACAUCCACAGAACUUUUCAGAGAUGAGAAUGUGCCUUCGGGAACUGUGAGACAGGUGCUGCAUGGCUGUCGUCAGCUCGUGUUGUGAAAUGUUGGGUUAAGUCCCGCAACGAGCGCAACCCUUAUCCUUUGUUGCCAGCGGUCCGGCCGGGAACUCAAAGGAGACUGCCAGUGAUAAACUGGAGGAAGGUGGGGAUGACGUCAAGUCAUCAUGGCCCUUACGACCAGGGCUACACACGUGCUACAAUGGCGCAUACAAAGAGAAGCGACCUCGCGAGAGCAAGCGGACCUCAUAAAGUGCGUCGUAGUCCGGAUUGGAGUCUGCAACUCGACUCCAUGAAGUCGGAAUCGC
Molecule: ribosomal RNA, 376 nt
Filed under: bacterium enrichment culture DGGE gel band MC18
Lineage: Bacteria
Description: bacterial SSU rRNA
Rfam family: Bacterial small subunit ribosomal RNA
Source: RNAcentral